This 483-nucleotide ribosomal RNA is filed under the name uncultured bacterium. Its description in RNAcentral is "partial 16S ribosomal RNA". It matches the Rfam family "Bacterial small subunit ribosomal RNA", at positions 28 to 523 of the family's 1533-position model. The record is from RNAcentral.
GACGAACGCUGGCGGCGUGCUUAACACAUGCAAGUCGAACGAUGAAGCCGGAGCUUGCUCCGGUGGAUUAGUGGCGAACGGGUGAGUAACACGUGAGCAAUCUGCCCUUGACUCUGGGAUAACUGCGGGAAACUGUAGCUAAUACCGGAUACGACACCUUGGGGCAUCCCAGGGUGUGGAAAGAAUUUCGGUCAAGGAUGAGCUCGCGGCCUAUCAGCUAGUUGGUGAGGUAAUGGCUCACCAAGGCGACGACGGGUAGCCGGCCUGAGAGGGUGACCGGCCACACUGGAACUGAGACACGGUCCAGACUCCUACGGGAGGCAGCAGUGGAGAAUAUUGCACAAUGGGCGAAAGCCUGAUGCAGCAACGCCGCGUGAGGGAUGAAGGCCUUCGGGUUGUAAACCUCUUUUGACAGGGAAGAAGCGAAAGUGACGGUACCUGCAGAAAAAGCACCGGCUAACUACGUGCCAGCCGCCGCCGUAA